GACGGAGGGUGCGUAGCGUUGUUCGGAAUGACUGGGCGUAAAGGGCGCGUAGGCGGCUCGUGAAGUCGGGGUGUGAAAGCCCGGGGGCUCAACCCCGGAACGGCAUCCGAUACUGGCGGGCUUGAGACCGGGAGAGGAGGGUGGAAUACCCAGUGUAGAGGUGAAAUUCGUAGAUAUUGGGGUGGAACACCGGUGGCGAAAGCGGCUCUCUGGCCCGGAUCUGACGCUGAGGCGCGAAAAGCGUGGGGGAGCAAACAGGG
RNAcentral lists this ribosomal RNA (260 nucleotides) under uncultured bacterium. Its description in RNAcentral is "partial 16S ribosomal RNA". It matches the Rfam family "Bacterial small subunit ribosomal RNA", at positions 524 to 777 of the family's 1533-position model. The record is from RNAcentral.